UACGGAGGGUGCGAGCGUUGUCCGGAAUCACUGGGCGUAAAGGGCGCGUAGGCGGCGCGAGUAGUCAACGGUGAAAGCCCGGGGCUCAACCCCGGGUCGGCCGUCGAUACUCUCGUGCUUGAGCACUGUAGAGGCAGGUGGAAUUCCGGGUGUAGCGGUGGAAUGCGUAGAGAUCCGGAAGAACACCGAUGGCGAAGGCAGCUCGCUGGGACGGUACUGACGCUGAGACGCGAAAGCGUGGGGAGCAAACAGG
This 253-nucleotide ribosomal RNA is filed under the name uncultured bacterium. Its description in RNAcentral is "partial 16S ribosomal RNA". It matches the Rfam family "Bacterial small subunit ribosomal RNA", at positions 524 to 776 of the family's 1533-position model. The record is from RNAcentral.